This 539-nucleotide transfer RNA is filed under the name uncultured Prochlorococcus sp. RNAcentral describes it as "partial 16S-23S ribosomal RNA intergenic spacer". The stretch from base 212 to 284 matches the Rfam family "tRNA". Lineage: Bacteria; Bacillati; Cyanobacteriota; Cyanophyceae; Synechococcales; Prochlorococcaceae. The record is from RNAcentral.
CAGGGAGACAACAAAAUGUUUAAUAUUAUUAUUUUGUCACCUUAGGUCGAUCGGUACCUCACGUUCUUAAUUUAUUAAGAAUUUCAUUUCCUAAGUUUUUCUAGGUCACACCCAUUAUUUUUCCUGGGCCAUUAGCUCAGGUGGUUAGAGCGCACCCCUGAUAAGGGUGAGGUCCCUGGUUCAAGUCCAGGAUGGCCCAUAUCUCUAUGUUGGGGGUAUAGCUCAGUUGGUAGAGCGCCUGCUUUGCAAGCAGGAUGUCAGCGGUUCGAGUCCGCUUACCUCCACUGAUUACCACCUCUUCCAUAAUUUGUAGAAAGGAAAUUUUUUGAGUUGUGAUCAAAUUCUGAACGAAUCUAGCUUCCUAAUGAAAUCAUUAAGAUGCUGGAUUCAUUGAAUUAAUUUCAUUGUUUUCAGAGAACCUUGACAACUGCAUAGAUUAUUUUAAAGACAAUAAGCAUCUUUAAUGAUGCAGAUUUAUUAUUUGUGCGAAUGCAUUAAUAACAAUUCUAUUAAGCUGAUGCUUCAAUUUUGAAGUUAUU